GGCGCCGAGUGUCUCCGUGUCCCUCUGCCCCAGCCGGCGGCCGCGAUGGUGGAGCUUGGCCUCUCGCUCUCUCCCGCCUCUCCAGCGACUGCUCUGCCGGCCGCGGAGGUCGGAUCGAGCGGUCAUUCAUUCAUUUGUUAAUUCGUUCACUUAUUCAGGGGAGAUCAUUGAACCCCUACGGAGUACCGGGUACUGGGCCGGGCGCUGAGGACGCGGGGCUGAGCAAAAGCAGCCGAGGCCCACCUUCGUGCCCCUUAAAACCCAGCGUGCGGGGCGGCAACGAGUACUGCUUUUCUGUUUUGCACUUAAAAUUUACAUUUUGCAUCCGUACUUUUUAUUUACUGUGCACCCUUACGGCAUGCUUUACGCACCCGUACCUGCACCUCCUAGCCUUGAGUGUAGACACCAGAUCCUGAGAUGGGCGAUUUUUCGAGAAUAAUUUUUACCCUAAGUGGAUUUUCGUGCCACGCAUGGACUUGGAACUACACACACGUAGUCCAAAACGUGAAAGUCAAAAUGCAGCUUUGCCAAGUGGCAGGGAGAAAGGAGAGCUGAGAAGAUGAGGAGAGGAAGGGCGCGCUCCAGGCUUUCCAGCCCGGGUGCGGUAGACGUAGCCCUGAAGGAUGAACCCAGGCUGGUAGUAGGGCGGCGGGAGGGCGGGGGGACCUGUCAGUCAAGUCCAAAGCAGAAACGCGGCGCCGGAUCCCAGUCAGAGGCCGGCUGGAACGCUUCCCACAGGCUCCUGGCGCUCCGGUCCCCACCAGGCGACCUUGAUCCUGGCGUGCUCAGCGGAGCCAGCGCAGCGUCGGGAGCUGGAGAGACGCGGGGCGCCGGCUGAGCGCUCCUGCCCUCUGCCUCUGGGCUAGCCUCUGGCCCGGCCUCCCGGCCUCCCCCAGGGUACGCUCUCCCCCAAGAGCGAACACCAGCUUUGGGAUCGCCAGCAGCCACGUCUCUGCUUCUAGAUCUCUUUUUUUUUUCUUUGAGACUUAGUUGAUAGCUGUUUAAGGAAUUAUGUGGAGGAAAUCUCACCUCCGACCCCCGCCCCCGUUGAGCACGGCCGGCCAGGGUCGCUGGGUGGGCCAGGAGGAAAGAAAGGGGCGGGGAAGAAGCAGCAAUUUUACUUUAAAUUAAAAUGACACAAAAAUAUUUUUUCAACUCAGAUCUUUCUGAGACAUCCCCAGAAAGCGUUGCAAGCUGUGAUUACACCUAAUGUGAGAGCAUGAACUAAUUUAAGAGGUGAGAGCUGCAUAAUGAGGCUGCCUCCCGUGUAGCAGCCAAGACUGGCAGCUCUGGCGGCGCGCUGGAGGGGACCGGGAGGGGCACCCUUGUAGAACCAGUCCCUGGCGCCCUGGGAUCUUCUCAGUGCCCUGGCGCUGUGUUGUCGGUCACUCCACAGAUAUUACAGGGUGCCUCCUGAAUGCCGGGUUGCAAUCAAGAGCAAGAGAUGGGGCGAGUGAAAGAGCCUGUUUUCAGGAGCUCAGCAUCAGGAUGACGAUUACCUAGAGGGAGGUGGUGGCCAGCCUCCCCCUCUUCUCUUCAUGCUGAGGCUCUGGUGGGCAGUGCCCAAGCCUGAACUGCCAUCUGUAUGCCAGUGGUUACCCAACUUGUAUUUUCAGUCUUAGCCUCUCUCUGGUCCAGACUUGUCAUUCUAAGGGCCCUUUUUCACUGACUCACAUUGUCUCCUCCCUCCCUGCCUUCCAAACUCAGCCUUUUCCUUUUUCCCUUUCCCACUGACAACAGCUGCACGACCCCCCCGCCCCCCCACGAGGUGAAAAUUCCCAAGAACCCCAUGUCUAACCUAACUCCCUCUCUAUGUCCUGUUGCUUGAGCCAUUCUCAUUAGGCUGCCUGUUCGGAGUUCAUUAUCUCCUAAUUUUUCAUCCAGGAAUUGAUGAAGAAUCACCUACUGCCUCUCCCACACACUGUUUAUUCUUUCAUUUGAUGAUAUCUGUUAAGUGCCCUGAGAUAUGUAACCUCCACUUCCCUCCCAUAUAAGUGAGAUUUCACGUUGAUUACUUCCUUGGCUUUCCUCAUCCCUUAUCCACAUAGCAUGUGUUCAAAAUAAUGAAUAUUAAUUUAAUGUUAAUAGAUAUGUGCUUUCCUGAAUUGUGAGGAUUAAAUGAAAUCAUGUAUAUAGGGAGGAAAAUCCAUUAGAAACCUCAAAAGCAGUUAUGUUUAUUUUUGCUAUUGUCACAUUGUUAGAGUCAGAAUUCUUUUAGCUGCAAGUGACAAAACCAACUCAAACUGGCUUAAGGACUUUAUUGGUUGAUGCAAAAAGCCUCGGGUUAGGUCUUGCCAUUUAAGGUAGGGCUGGAUCCAUCAAUCCGGGUUACCAGGAUCUGUUUUCUAGUUGUGGCUUCAUUUUCAGACAAGUUGUUUCCAUAUGAUAGCCUCAUAGAAGGUACUACCAGCUUAGUCCUAGCAAGAAAAAAGAGUACUUACUCUUCAAUAUUUGCAGCAGAAGUCCCAGGUCUGUUCUUAUGAGGGCAGUUUGAGUCACUUGCUCUUCUCUGAACGUGGAGAAGGCACUGUUUAGAUGAUGGAGGUUGGAUUCAGGUGCAUCCCCUGGAAUGGGGUUUGGCAUUAGCUUCACGUGGUCUAGAAUAAAGGGGUUCUCCAAAGGAAAAUUAGGGUAGGAAUGCUGAGUAAGCAGAACAAACAGAUGUCUACUUUAGUCCUUCCCAAAGGGUGAGCUGCAAUACAUUGCAGACUAUCAGAAUGGUGAUGAACACGGAUGCAGUAGCCAAGAAAAUAGAUGUGUGUUUGUCGUGGUCUUUUUCAGUCUUCAAGAUCUCAGUUAAACAUGAAGUCAACCACUCACUAUGAUGUUAUUUGAGGUUUAGCUUUGAAGUGGAAAUGUACCACAAAUAGUAGAGCCAGAUAAAUACAAAUAAAUAAUUUUAACAGUCCAUUCUAAAAGAUUUCUUUGGUAAUAUUCUGUUGGAAUUGAUUUCUAUCUUUUCAUUUGUUAGGUUCCUGGAAAGUGAAAAUUUCAUUUCUUUGUGGACAGCUCAGAGACCUAAUAGGAUGGGGUCUUAGAGAAACAUCUUUUGAGCCACAGACUUCUUUGUUACCAGAAGGAAAAUGAAAGAAGAAAUUUAAAUACCACUUGAAGAGAGCUGAUCGCCACCAACUGGCCUCUGGGUGGAUUUGGCCAAUGGAAGCACCUGUAGAGGGAAGAGAGUGAGGUUAGGAUAUUUCUUCCUGCUGUCUCCGUGCUUCCCUGCAGAGAGUGUGAAGAAAUGACCCUGAAAAGCCUCUGGCAGAGGAUUCUUCUUUCAGGAUGGUGUCGCCUCCUCAGCAGCCCAUCCUCCUCCCCUGGACUCAAGCUCUCAUUCCAGUAACACUCCUUCCUCCUUCUCCAUCUUCAGGGGGAGGUUUGCCAGUCGGUGGGUUCUAAGCAUAUCUCGCUGAUUCCCCCCAACCCUGCCGACACCUCUGUAGGUCGUCCCUUCAUUAAAAUCUCUCCAUUUGAACUAUCUGAGUUUAAUUCCAUUUCCUCCUGGUAUCUCAGUGAUACACGGUAUCAGUACAAAAAUCUCGCUUCACCUUCAGAACCAACAGAUUUGAGACAUUUUAUCCUCUGUGGAACCAUUAGUUAUUUUGUCAUUGGUUGUAUCAGAAAAAAAAAUCAGGAAUGCAAAUCCUUCUUUAUUACAGAUUCAGAUUUGCAUAUUACCAAUGUUAUAUAUUUUAAACAAAACUAUUCAUCAUAAGUUUUAAAAAUUAACUACUGGAGUAGUUAAUGAAUCUGAAUGUAAUUAUGUAGCUUUCAUAAUAUUAAAGUAAAAAUACUAAAAGAAGUAUUUCUUAAAGAAGCAAAUGCUCAAUCUCCAAGUAAAUUUUAUUCUAUGCUCUUCCGGUAUAAGAAUAUGUUAAUAUCUUGAAAAAUAUCAUAUUAUUUUGUGAACUCAUAAAGCUAUUUUGAGUUUUUGUAAAAUGAAAACCUUACCAAAAUGUAUUUUAUUGUUGGAAAGCUUGACCGUUACUGCUGUUUAAUUUUUUGAGCUUGUAAACUUUAUUUGUGCAUGUUUUCAACAAAGAAGGAUUUUAUUGUUAUUACAUAAAACAGGUGAUUUCUAGAUUUUAAAAUCACAAAUUGAAAGCAAGGCACAAUAAUAUAUAUUUCAAGAUAUAGGUACUUAGGAGGCAUCCUUUUAGUCAUCUGUUCAAUGUAGCCAUCUAUUUUACACCUACUGUCUACUAUUGUUUGAGGUCCUUGCCAAAGUAUUGCAGGCUAGUUAGGAAACAUAAAACAAUUAGAAAGUAAUCUAUGACAAGUAAGCUAUCUAUAAAUGGCAAUGAAGGGUAGAACAAAUUCAAUGAAAAUAUCUAUUUAAUCCUAGUGUUUACUGGUCUAGAAGAAUAGGCUGAGUAAAUUAGUAUUUCUCUGGCUGUUGUGGUAACACAUUGCAUGCUAUAACAGUUUUAAGUAAUUACAGGUGCAUUGAAAUUUAUCUAUGGCUUUGUCAUCAUAUUCUAAAAUGUCAUGAGUACUUUUUUCUGACCUCAAUUACUAUGAAAUUGGUUUCCAAUAUUUAAUUAACCAAGAAUAUCAAGUCUAUAGGGUAUUAUUAAGGUGAGACUUCUGUAGCCUUUUCAAUAAAGACCAGAAUUUUGGAGUGCCUUGAACCUUAAUCAUUGAUCUUUAAUUCUUAUUAAGUCAACUGCCCACCUUUUAAAGACUGAGGCCCAGGAAGAGUAAGUUUCUCUGAGACAAUGCAUACAGUACAGUGCUUCUUGGGUAUUGGCUCUAAGACCAGAUGCAAAGAAAGGCUAAAAUCCCAUUUCAUUGUUCAUUAGGUGAGAACCCUUUGUUAAGCUGUGUAACCUCUGUGCAUAGUUUCCUCAUCAGCAAAGUCAGAAAAAGUAUGUACCUGAAGGACUGAUUGUAAGGCUGGGAUGAGAGAAUCCAUGUGAUCAGCCCUCACCAACAGGUGCUGCCCAGUUCAUGAGUGCUGCUGCUGUCCUGCCCAAGUACCCAGCUUGCAGAGUGCCAGAGUUAGAGUCCCAGGGGUGUUCUCCACAGCUGCAUGCUUGAUCCAGGCCUAUCAGAUAUAUUCCAUUGAAAGUCCUCAUUCUCAAAUUUAAAACAAAGACUUUUUGUGUACCUCAAUAGCAAUGCACACACAGUUGGCUUCACAAACAUAUUGUACAUUUCUUUUUUUCAUAUUUAUUCAACAAAUGUAUAUUGACUACCCACCGUGUGACAGGUGUUAUUUGUUGACGGAACCAGGCAUCAUCAGCAAACAAAACUGACAAAGCUUCCUGCCCUCUGUGGAAGGCAUCUGAGGAAGAGACUGGAUUUUGUAGCAACAUGUUAUUCUCAUUAUAAACUUUAUCAUUGGAAUACUAAAGCCAAAUCAUCCCCCAUCUCCUUGAUCAGGAUACCCACUUAAUCUAGGCAGCUACACAAUUGUGAGAGCCUUUGUUUUUUUCUGCUGAAACAUCCUUAAAAAGAUACCUCACAACCCAAGAUUUGGCUUUUCUUAAAUACGAUUUUUAAUUUUUUUCAUUUCUAUCUAGAGAUUUAAUUGGAAAUGGAAAAUCAUCAAUUUUCCAAUUAAAUGUCUGUUCCAAUCAACAUUAUACCUUUUAGGUUGUCAUUGUCAUUUUUAAGUUUAAGCAACUUUAAGGAUUUUGAAUCUGGCUGCCUGUAAAUUAAAGGUGAAAGUAAUCA
Molecule: long non-coding RNA, 5679 nt
Filed under: Homo sapiens (human)
Lineage: Eukaryota; Metazoa; Chordata; Mammalia; Primates; Hominidae
Description: HSALNT0385832
Source: RNAcentral